This is a long non-coding RNA of Eutrema salsugineum, 426 nucleotides long. RefSeq lists it as uncharacterized. The transcript has 2 exons. NCBI's taxonomy places the organism in Eukaryota, Viridiplantae, Streptophyta, Magnoliopsida, Brassicales, Brassicaceae. The record is from RefSeq and is a predicted model, not a curated record.
AUAAGCACAAGUUCAAAAUUUUCUCAGUUCUCUCACCGACCUAAGCCAAAGUUUCAAAGCAACAGUGCAACAUGAAUAUUCUAAGCUCACCGAUCUAGAAGCUAUUCUUAGCUCGUUACCCGAACUCCUUGAUACCCAGCUGAAACGAACAACGGCGGAACAAAUACGGCAGAAAAGAACAGCGGCAACACCAGAUCUGGAAUUGAAAACAAAGCGGAUUAGGGUCUUCGAUCCAAAAGAGAAGUCUGUGUUGAUUACGACUUACCGUAUACCGUAUAGCGGAGUAUACAGAAAAACUGGCAAAUCUGCAGAGAUAAUUUUUUGCGGUUGGUAUGUUUUUUUGUUUUACCGAUAUUGUGUUAAGACUGUGUAAAAAAACACUUAUAUAUGUCUGUAAAUUUCUUAUUAACCGUUGUACCAAUUCAA